GGGGCUGUAGCUCAUUUGGGAGAGCGCGUCGUUCGCAACGACGAGGUAGCGAGUUCGAUCCUCGUCAGCUCCACCA
Molecule: transfer RNA, 76 nt
Filed under: Bacillota bacterium
Lineage: Bacteria; Bacillati; Bacillota
Also listed under: 2 other names
Description: tRNA-Ala
Rfam family: tRNA
About the family: Transfer RNA (tRNA) molecules are approximately 80 nucleotides in length. Their secondary structure includes four short double-helical elements and three loops (D, anti-codon, and T loops).
Source: RNAcentral